CGUAGGGGCUAGCGUUGUCCGGAAUUACUGGGCGUAAAGGGUGCGUAGGUGGUUUCUUAAGUCAGAGGUGAAAGGCUACGGCUCAACCGUAGUAAGCCUUUGAAACUGGGGAACUUGAGUGCAGGAGAGGAGAGUGGAAUUCCAUGUGUAGCGGUGAAAUGCGUAGAUAUAUGGAGGAACACCAGUGGCGAAGGCGACUCUCUGGUCUGUAACUGACGCUGAGGCUCGAAAGCGUGGGGAGCAAACAGGAUUAGAUACCCUGGUAGU
RNAcentral lists this ribosomal RNA (267 nucleotides) under uncultured prokaryote. Its description in RNAcentral is "partial 16S ribosomal RNA". It matches the Rfam family "Bacterial small subunit ribosomal RNA", at positions 526 to 794 of the family's 1533-position model. The record is from RNAcentral.